This 293-nucleotide unclassified non-coding RNA is filed under the name uncultured Sebacina. RNAcentral describes it as "sequence contains 5.8S rRNA gene". Lineage: Eukaryota; Fungi; Basidiomycota; Agaricomycetes; Sebacinales; Sebacinaceae. The record is from RNAcentral.
GAACGCACCUUGCACCCUUUGGCAUUCCGAAGGGUAUGCUCGUUUGAGUGUCAUUGUACUCUCACACUCCCACUCUUUUGGAUUGGGAGCGGUGGACUUGGGUGUUGCUGCUUUACGGUGGCUCACCUCAAAUGGAGUAGUGCAACUCUCGGUUGGACAUAGUACGGCGUGAUAAGUAUCUUCGCCGGCGCCUCACUCGAGGGUGGCCGAUCGGGAGCUCUGUGCUUCAAACUGUCUUCGGACAAUCUCUGACAACUUGACCUCAAAUCGAGUAGGACUACCCACUGAACUUA